Molecule: ribosomal RNA, 300 nt
Filed under: Listeria monocytogenes
Lineage: Bacteria; Bacillati; Bacillota; Bacilli; Caryophanales; Listeriaceae
Also listed under: 1 other name
Description: partial 16S ribosomal RNA
Rfam family: Bacterial small subunit ribosomal RNA
Source: RNAcentral
CAGAACAAAGGGCUGCAAGACCGCAAGGUUUAGCCAAUCCCAUAAAUCUGUUCUCAGUUCGGAUCGCAGUCUGCAACUCGACUGCGUGAAGCUGGAAUCGCUAGUAAUCGCGGAUCAGCAUGCCGCGGUGAAUACGUUCCCGGGCCUUGUACACACCGCCCGUCACACCACGAGAGUUUGCAACACCCGAAGUCGGUGAGGUAACCUUUAUGGAGCCAGCCGCCGAAGGUGGGGCAGAUGAUUGGGGUGAAGUCGUAACAAGGUAGCCGUAUCGGAAGGUGCGGCUGGAUCACCUCCUUU